ACGACUGAUAGGAGAGAGUAUCACCAGCCAGCAUCGGCCUGCACCGGCGAGGAUGGGCGCGACCUAGAGGUUGGCGGCGGCUCGAUCUGCUCUUGGAUCGGGAACUGCGACGAGGCUGGGUCUCGGGCGCGAUUCACAGGAGGCUGUACUCCGCCUUUUCCUCGUGGUGCGGCGGACGGCGGUGCGCUCUGGUCGGAAGAAGAGUUGGGCGGUGAGGAGGAGAAGAAGGUGGCUUACGUUUUCAACACCGCCCUCACUGCCCCCUUCUUCCAUUGGCUCAUCGGCCGGUUAGAGAUUAUCAAGGUGGAGGUCAAUGGUGUGAGACAGAGAAGUGGAGUGCUCAUAAAGAAACGCAGCUGCUUCCUGGAUUCGCCGUCGUGGCCGCCGCCUCUAGUCGCUUCCACCUGGACAUCCUUCGCCAACAAGGUGCUGGCUGGUUGGUGCUGGGCUACUGAUGGCAUGAGACCCGCUUCAAAAAAAGGAAUGAAAGGAAGCAUUUGUUCAUAG
Molecule: ribosomal RNA, 507 nt
Filed under: Triticum aestivum (bread wheat)
Lineage: Eukaryota; Viridiplantae; Streptophyta; Magnoliopsida; Poales; Poaceae
Description: partial small subunit ribosomal RNA
Source: RNAcentral